This 691-nucleotide small RNA is filed under the name Pongo abelii (Sumatran orangutan). RNAcentral describes it as "processed transcript". Lineage: Eukaryota; Metazoa; Chordata; Mammalia; Primates; Hominidae. The record is from RNAcentral.
UCCCUGCAGGUGGCCAGAGCAGGCCGGUUUGGCACCAAGGGCUUGGCUAUCACAUUUGUAUCCGAUGAGAAUGAUGCCAAGAUCCUCAAUGAUGUGCAGGAUCGCUUUGAGGUCAAUAUUAGUGAGCUGCCUGAUGAGAUAGACAUCUCCUCCUACAGUGAGUACUGAUCUCAUGAAACCCUUUAGGUCCUCCCUGUUCCUUAGUGUGUUUGUGCUAAAUCCCGUCACAUAGGUCUUGGGCACCUGAUGCAUAAUGGACGCUUGACUGGUUCAUGCCCCCUGGUCUUUGAUGCUGUGUUGGGAUGUUUUCCUGACCUUUAUGUGGGGUUUCUGUCUUCUCUCAUCAUAUUACAUGCCUUCCCUCACCCCCACGUCCGUCCUCAGAACCAAGGCAGUACACCAGCGUCUGCAUGUGUGCCGUGUGUUCCUGCCUCGCUUUCCCCUUUUCAUGCCUUAUUCUGACCAUGCUACGUUUUCUUCUCAGUUGAACAGACACGGUAGAAGACUCGCCCAUUCUGGAAUGUGACCGUCUGUCCUUCAGGAGAGGACACCAGGGUGGGGGUGAAGGAGACACUACUGCCCCCACCCCUGACAGCCCCCACCCCAUGGCUUCCAUCUUUUGCAUCACCACCACUCCUGAACCCCCAUUUCUGAUUUGUCAGAAUUUUUUUUAACAAAACUAAAAAUGAAA